Molecule: ribosomal RNA, 282 nt
Filed under: uncultured bacterium
Lineage: Bacteria
Description: partial 16S ribosomal RNA
Rfam family: Bacterial small subunit ribosomal RNA
Source: RNAcentral
UUCGCCCUACGGGAGGCAGCAGUGAGGAAUAUUGGUCAAUGGCCGAGAGGCUGAACCAGCCAAGUCGCGUGAGGGAAGAAUGUCCUAUGGAUUGUAAACCUCUUUUGUCAGGGAGCAAAGUCACCCACGUGUGGGUGUUGGAGAGUACAUGAAGAAAAAGCAUCGGCUAACUCCGUGCCAGCAGCCGCGGUAAUACGGAGGAUGCGAGCGUUAUCCGGAUUUAUUGGGUGUAAAGGGUGCGUAGGCGGGUUAGCAAGUCAGCGGGAAAAUCGUGGAGCUCAA